GUGCACAAGGCUCUGACCUAUGAAUUGACAGCCAAUGCUCUUGUCUCCCCUCUGGCUGCCAAUUCCAUAGGUCACAGGUAUGUUCGCC
RNAcentral lists this microRNA precursor (88 nucleotides) under Nannospalax galili (Upper Galilee mountains blind mole rat). Its description in RNAcentral is "microRNA 192 (ENSNGAG00000003428.1)". The stretch from base 5 to 83 matches the Rfam family "mir-192/215 microRNA precursor family". Rfam says of the family: This family represents the human microRNA (miRNA) precursors mir-192 and mir-215. Animal miRNAs are transcribed as ~70nt precursors and subsequently processed by the Dicer enzyme to give a ~22nt product. Lineage: Eukaryota; Metazoa; Chordata; Mammalia; Rodentia; Spalacidae. The record is from RNAcentral.